UAGUCCACGCUGUAAACGAUGAUCACUCGAUAUGGGUCUUUUAUAGGCGCGUGUCCAAGCGGAAGCAUUAAGUGAUCCACCUGGGGAGUACGUUCGCAAGAAUAAAACUUAAAGGAAUUGACGGGGAUCCGCACAAGCGGUGGAGCAUGUGGUUUAAUUCGAUACUACGCGAGGAACCUUACCUAGGCUCUAAUGUAUUUUGACGCAUACAGAAAUGUAUGUUUCCGUAAGGACAAUUUACAAGGUGCUGCAUGGCUGUCGUCAGCUCGUGCCGUGAGGUGUUUGGUUAAGUCCUAUAACGAGCGCAACCCUUAUGCUUAGUUGCCAGCGCGUCAUGGCGGGAACUUUAAGCAGACUGCCUGCGAAAGCAGUGAGGAAGGAGAGGAUCAAGUCAAGUCAUCAUGGCCCUUACGCCUAGGGCUACGCACGUGCUACAAUGGCAUGUACAACGGGUCGCUACCUGGUAACAGGAUGCUAAUCUCUAAAACAUGUCU
This 494-nucleotide ribosomal RNA is filed under the name uncultured bacterium. Its description in RNAcentral is "bacterial SSU rRNA". It matches the Rfam family "Bacterial small subunit ribosomal RNA", at positions 791 to 1288 of the family's 1533-position model. The record is from RNAcentral.